GCUUGAAAUUCUGGCGAUUUUUUACUCUGAUUUCAUGGAGGAUAAGUGGGAUGCAAGUAAGGACAUCUAUCAAAGUCUUAAAACUUUGAGUUUGUCAUAUAUCAAAUUAUCAGAAUGGGAAGUUGAUAGGAGCGAAACUUUUCCCAAGCUUGAGGAAUUAAUACUAGAACGUUGUUACAAGCUUACGGAGAUCCCUUCUGCAUUCGAGGAUAUAGAAACUUUAAAGACCAUUCAUUUAACUAAUAUUAAGCGUGAGCUUGGA
RNAcentral lists this unclassified non-coding RNA (262 nucleotides) under Hevea brasiliensis (rubber tree). The record is from RNAcentral. Lineage: Eukaryota; Viridiplantae; Streptophyta; Magnoliopsida; Malpighiales; Euphorbiaceae.